Molecule: ribosomal RNA, 465 nt
Filed under: uncultured bacterium
Lineage: Bacteria
Description: partial 16S ribosomal RNA
Rfam family: Bacterial small subunit ribosomal RNA
Source: RNAcentral
CCUACGGGUGGCAGCAGUAGGGAAUCUUCCACAAUGGACGAAAGUCUGAUGGAGCAACGCCGCGUGAGUGAAGAAGGGUUUCGGCUCGUAAAGCUCUGUUGGUAGUGAAGAAAGAUAGAGGUAGUAACUGGCCUUUAUUUGACGGUAAUUACUUAGAAAGUCACGGCUAACUACGUGCCAGCAGCCGCGGUAAUACGUAGGUGGCAAGCGUUGUCCGGAUUUAUUGGGCGUAAAGCGAGUGCAGGCGGUUCAAUAAGUCUGAUGUGAAAGCCUUCGGCUCAACCGGAGAAUUGCAUCAGAAACUGUUGAACUUGAGUGCAGAAGAGGAGAGUGGAACUCCAUGUGUAGCGGUGGAAUGCAUAGAUAUCACGCAGAACUCCGAUUGCGAAGGCAGCAUACCGGCGCUCAACUGACGCUCAUGCACGAAAGUGUGGGUAUCGAACAGGAUUAGAUACCCCAGUAGUC